CGGCAGCAUAGAGAGCUUGCUCUCUGAUGGCGAGUGGCGAACGGGUGAGUAAUAUAUCGGAACGUGCCUAGUAAUGGGGAAUAACUAGCUGAAAGGUUAGCUAAUGCCGCAUACGACCUACGGGUGAAAGCAGGGGAUCUUCGGACCUUGCGUUAUUAGAGCGGCCGAUAUCUGAUUAGCUUGUUGGUGGGGUAAUGGCCUACCAAGGCGACGAUCAGUAGCUGGUCUGAGAGGACGAUCAGCCACACUGGAACUGAGACACGGUCCAGACUCCUACGGGAGGCAGCAGUGGGGAAUUUUGGACAAUGGGGGCAACCCUGAUCCAGCCAUUCCGCGUGAGUGAAGAAGGCCUUCGGGUUGUAAAGCUCUUUCGCAAGAGAAGAAAACUUACUAUCUAAUAAAUAGUAAGUAUGACGGUAUCUUGACAAGAAGCACCGGCUAACUACGUGCCAGCAGCCGCGGUAAUACGUAGGGUGCAAGCGUUAAUCGGAAUUACUGGGCGUAAAGCGUGCGCAGGCAGUUUUAUAAGUCAGAUGUGAAAUCCCCGAGCUCAA
RNAcentral lists this ribosomal RNA (554 nucleotides) under uncultured Methylophilus sp. RNAcentral's name for it is "bacterial SSU rRNA". It matches the Rfam family "Bacterial small subunit ribosomal RNA", at positions 67 to 612 of the family's 1533-position model. Lineage: Bacteria; Pseudomonadati; Pseudomonadota; Betaproteobacteria; Nitrosomonadales; Methylophilaceae. The record is from RNAcentral.